Danio rerio (zebrafish) is the source of this 1882-nucleotide non-coding RNA. The record is from RefSeq and is a predicted model, not a curated record. NCBI's taxonomy places the organism in Eukaryota, Metazoa, Chordata, Actinopteri, Cypriniformes, Danionidae.
ACUAAAGGUGAUAAAAUAUGAUUUAUAGUAAAUACAAUAGUGUUUUUGAUCCAUACUAUUGUAAAGUGCGUUCAUAUCAUACUAUUUACCACUCUUUGUUGAUGAAUGUGCCAUGAUACUAGUAUUAAUAACCACACUGAAUUGAUAAACACAGUAGUACACUUUCAUUUUUUAUUACAGUAAACUGUUAUUUUCUGUUACUGAUAAAUAAAUUAGUAUCUGUAGUAAAACUGGUUGUAAAAACGAUAGCUAAACAAUACAUCAAAACAUGGUCAGUAGCAGAGUUGCUUGCGUUUGAACUUAAAUCUUAUGAAUGCGUAUGCUAAAAAUCUAGUUAACAAUAGAGCAAAAGUUAAAUUGUGCUGGAUUUGACUGCAACACUUGGCUUGUCAUAAAUUUGAGGAAGCGACAUCUCACAAUUUAUAGAGGUGUGAAAAUGGGAGGAAGUUCAAUACAGACAGAAGACAUCCGUCACUGGGCUUUUUAUCUGGUUAUAAUACAGAAAGCAAUCAGCAGAGUUUAUUUGAGAUUACUAACACACUCCUGUGUCAGUAAUUUCUUAAUGCCGAAUUUUCAGAUUUCUUAAGUGUUUCAAUCUCAUACUCUUGAAAAAUGUUUCACAUGAUUAUUUACUUCUGUUUGUUGCAUCUGGCUGGUAAGUGUUAAAAAAAUGAAUGACUUCAAGUUUGGUUAACUAUAUCUAGUAUUUAUUCUUGUUUUGGUGUGUUUUAUACAGACGGAGUGAAAAGGGUGUCAGUGAUGGAGGGAGAUUCUGUCACUCUGCAUAUUAAUCAGACUUUUACUGAUAGAAGACAUUAUCGGAAUCCUUUAUUGUGGACUGGACCUGAAGAGACAGACUACAGAUCGACAGUCAGACUGGAUCUCUGACCAUUAGCAACAUCAGAAGCACAGACUCUGGACUUUACGAACUUCAUGGAGACUUAAGCAAAUUAUUGUUCGAUGUUACUGUCUAUGCUCGUCUGCCCAAUCCAGUCAUCACCAGAGACUCUUGUAACUCUUCAUCAUCCAGUUGUUCAGUGUUGUGUUCAGUGUUGAAUGCGAGUGCUGUGAGUCUCUGUGAGUUUACUGUCCAGCAUCAGUGUGUCUGAUCGCAGCUCCAGUCUCUCUCUACAUCUGGACAUUAAAUGUCUGAAUGAUUCCUACUUCUGUAUUGUAAACAAUCCCAUCAGCAACCAAACAACACUUCUCAACAGCACUGAACUCUGUCAGCCAUGUCCAGACUCGAUUCACUGUUGUGGUUUCACUGAAGCUGUGAUUCGAUUGGUCAUCUCUGCUGUUGUGGGUGUGGCUGCUGUUACCAUGGUGCUUUAUGAUAUCAUAUCCAGAAAAGUUGAAGAGAUGAAGAGAACAUCACAGUCAGUCAUUGAAUAAUGAAUUAAUUAUUUGAAUGAUCAUUAAUUAUUUGUACUUCUGAGUCAGUUCUUGUUAAAAGCCAUGUGCAACAGUCAGUUUUACACUGAUUUUAAACUAAAUGUUUUUAUAUAUGUAGGUUUGCAAUGUUUUGCAAAUAUUCUUGUACAAUUUGCUUGUUGUUCAGUCAGGACUAAAUGGAGUCAGUUUGAAGUGAUCAUCAAGAACUGAAAGUUGUUUGUCUUAAAUUUUUUAUUGGAUUCAUGGAGAUGCACUGAAAUUAUUUCAUCGCAAAGAACUUGUAUUGGAGUGAAAAUAAAAAAUAUAAAGGAAUAUUAUUCAGUCUGGCUGGAGAACAUGUUUGAACAGCUCUACAGGAGGACAAAGUGGCACAGAUUAAGUUUAGUCUGUGUGAAAAUCAUCAGCAAUAAGUUUAACAUAAAAAACAGUUCAAGUCUAGAAUCCUCAGUAUUACACACUCUCGAAAAUAAAGAUACAGGAGCUGUCACUG